This 333-nucleotide long non-coding RNA is filed under the name Vulpes vulpes (red fox). RNAcentral's name for it is "lncRNA (ENSVVUG00000016515.1)". Lineage: Eukaryota; Metazoa; Chordata; Mammalia; Carnivora; Canidae. The record is from RNAcentral.
CUUCUCUAGCAAGGGAACAAAGAAGAGAAGGGGUGGAUAAAAUGAUUCUUUCAUUUUUAAAAAAUCAUGUCCCUGGGCUCUUUAAAGCAAAAGUGAGGCCUUCUUUGAAGCAAGACAAUGAUCCCCAGAUUGCUGGUGAGAGACGGACAAGCACUCCAUGCUCAGCUAUUCUUAGGACCAAAAUUGCUGAGAGCUCUGCCAGCAGUUACUGGCCUUGAUUGGGAAACGAGAAGAUUCUGGGCGCAAUGAUCUGGGCUCUACGUAAGCAGGCUCAGAUGCUUGCUGCCCAUCCUGGGGCUAACCUCUCUGGGAAGGUGAGUUCAUGCUCUAUUC